GACGGAAGGUGCAAGCGUUGCUCGGAAUCACUGGGCGUAAAGGGCGCGUAGGCGGCCUGUUAAGUCGAACGUGAAAUCCCCGGGCUCAACCCGGGAACUGCGUCCGAAACUGGCAGGCUUGAAUUCGGGAGAGGGAUGCGGAAUUCCAGGUGUAGCGGUGAAAUGCGUAGAUAUCUGGAGGAACAUCGGUGGCGAAGGCGGCAUCCUGGACCGAUAUUGACGCUGAGGCGCGAAAGCCAGGGGAGCAAACGGG
Molecule: ribosomal RNA, 253 nt
Filed under: uncultured bacterium
Lineage: Bacteria
Description: partial 16S ribosomal RNA
Rfam family: Bacterial small subunit ribosomal RNA
Source: RNAcentral